UUAUUAUUAUUUCAUUUUCAAAUAAUUAGGCGUUGUUCUCUUCGGACGUACGGCGGCGCGCCACUGCCAAAACCACCGCUAUUCGACGUACACGGUGGUGGUCGGUCGUGGUAGUGCCGCGCUGCGUGCGUCUGAAAUGGCCGCCUCUCAUUUCUCUCUUUUGCAUGCAUCGAUUCUUUUAAUAUAUGAUAUCUUUGCUGCAGUACUACUACAAAUCAUAUUAUAUUAUGUGUGAUCUUUAUAAAUAUGUUAAAUUCAUGCAUGGGUUUUCUUGCAUGGGCAUCGUACCCUAAUUUGUUGAAUUUCUAGGUCUUUCUAAUCGAAUUUUUCUAAAAAAUAAAAUAAUAGUGAUAACAAUACAUGAUCAAACUAUCAUUUUACCUAAGAUGUGGUGUGUGUUAAUGUGUGUUAAUGUGUGAAUCUCAUCGGUGCAAUUGGUUACUUAUUCAUACGUGAAAUUAAAUCUUAUCGGUGUGGUUAGUUGUUCUUUCUUACGUGAUGGUGAUGUAAUGACUUAUAAGAUAGAGAUCAUAGAUAUGACUUACCAUUUUCAAUAAUGCAUAUAAGUGAUUCUUGUUUGGUUGUUUAAUUAACUUUUUCUAAAAAGCAAAAGGCUACUGAACAAUUUUGUACAGCUUUAAACACGUAAAUCAGAGACAAACUUCAAAGUAUCAGAUGGGUGGAAGUGUGUGUGUUUGAUGUAGCAUAUGGGAUAACGAAAAUGGGUUGGAAUUCGUAUUGUUAUUUUGUUUACAUGUUUUUCAAUUACUCUUGUUUAGCAUCUUAAUUAAUGAUAUAAUAGGACGAAUAAUCGUUUGUUUGUUUUUUUUUUUUUAUUUUUUAUUAUUUGUAUUUAGUUUGUGAAAAUUGGAAGGUCGUGUUUUUAGGUCAAAGAUUGAAGAAAUGUUGUUGUUGGCGGAAUAACAAUGGGAAGCAAUAUGAAAGUUGAAAAAUGAAAAUAAGAUAUUUUUGCUAUACAAAGUAUAAGUCUUAAUGGCUUUCUAUUGACAUAGAGUGGUAGAUUUAGAGUUUCCAUUAGAUUGGGAAAUGCUGAUUUGAUCGACUGUGGAAGGAAAUGAGUGGCUUUGGCCUCCAAAGUUGAGGCAGGUAACCAGGUCGUCAUCUAGCAGCCUCGACCUCGACCUCGAAGUUUCAUUCGUUCUUUUUUCGUGGUUUCUUCUUUCUUCUUAAAUACAUUUCUUAUCCUUCGUUGAUCCUCACAUAACAAUUGUUAUUCAAGCCGUUUUUACCCUACCUAAUACGUGAGAUUUUGUAUAAUCUUAUAUGGCUUUUCAUUAUAAAUGCAUUUUCAAUCAUAUUUUUGUAGGUUAGAUCAAGGAAUUUGAGAGAUUUAGUCCAAUUUAAUUAAUAACAUUUUUGUAUCUUAGAUUAAGGCAUUUAAGACAAAUCUUUCUCACUUUUCUUCUAUCUUGAAAGCUAGUGAUCGAGUUCAGUCAAUUAGAUUAAAUUGAUUGAUUAAAUUAAUUAAGAAUCGUUUGUUAUUUUGAUCAAGUUUAAUUCUAUAACUCUAUGACUUAUUUUGA
Molecule: long non-coding RNA, 1544 nt
Organism: Cucumis melo (muskmelon)
Lineage: Eukaryota; Viridiplantae; Streptophyta; Magnoliopsida; Cucurbitales; Cucurbitaceae
Exons: 2
Source: RefSeq, a predicted model, not a curated record